This 71-nucleotide transfer RNA is filed under the name Loxodonta africana (African savanna elephant). It matches the Rfam family "tRNA". From Rfam's summary of the family: Transfer RNA (tRNA) molecules are approximately 80 nucleotides in length. Their secondary structure includes four short double-helical elements and three loops (D, anti-codon, and T loops). Further hydrogen bonds mediate the characteristic L-shaped molecular structure. tRNAs have two regions of fundamental functional importance: the anti-codon, which is responsible for specific mRNA codon recognition, and the 3' end, to which the tRNAs corresponding amino acid is attached (by aminoacyl-tRNA synthetases). tRNAs cope with the degeneracy of the genetic code in two manners: having more than one tRNA (with a specific anti-codon) for a particular amino acid; and 'wobble' base-pairing, i.e. permitting non-standard base-pairing at the 3rd anti-codon position. Lineage: Eukaryota; Metazoa; Chordata; Mammalia; Proboscidea; Elephantidae. The record is from Rfam by way of RNAcentral.
GCAGUGGUGGUUCAGUAGUAGAAUUUAUGCCUUCCAUGUGGGAGACCUGGGCUUAACUCCCAGCCAGUGCG